UACGUAGGGUGCGAGCGUUGUCCGGAAUUAUUGGGCGUAAAGAGCUCGUAGGCGGUUUGUUGCGUCUAUCGUGAAAACCUGCGGCUUAACUGUGGGCUUGCGGUGGAUACGGGCAGACUUGAGUUCGGUAGGGGAGACUGGAAUUCCUGGUGUAACGGUGAAAUGCGCAGAUAUCAGGAGGAACACCGGUGGCGAAGGCGGGUCUCUGGGCCGAUACUGACGCUGAGGAGCGAAAGCGUGGGGAGCGAACAGG
Molecule: ribosomal RNA, 253 nt
Filed under: uncultured bacterium
Lineage: Bacteria
Description: partial 16S ribosomal RNA
Rfam family: Bacterial small subunit ribosomal RNA
Source: RNAcentral